This 495-nucleotide ribosomal RNA is filed under the name uncultured bacterium. RNAcentral describes it as "partial 16S ribosomal RNA". It matches the Rfam family "Bacterial small subunit ribosomal RNA", at positions 28 to 507 of the family's 1533-position model. The record is from RNAcentral.
GACGAACGCUGGCGGCGUGCCUAAUACAUGCAAGUAGAACGCAGACGGCGGAGCUUGCUCUUCUGGAUGAGUUGCGAACGGGUGAGUAACGCGUAGGUAACCUGCCUGGUAGCGGGGGAUAACUAUUGGAAACGAUAGCUAAUACCGCAUAACAGUAGAUGUUGCAUGACCUUUACUUAACAGGUGCAAUUGCAUCACUACCAGCUGGACCUGCGUUGUAUUAGCUAGUGGGUGGGGUAACGGCUCACCAAGGCGACGAUACAUAGCCGACCUCAGAGGGUGAGCGGCGACGCUGGGAUGAGGACACGGCCCAGAACACUACGGGUGGGAGCAGUACGGAACCUUCGGCAAAGGACGGAAGUCUGAACGAGCAACGCUGCGUGAGAGAAGAACGGUGUCGGGUCGUGAAGAUCAGGUGUGUGAGAGGAUCGAGUGUGACAGUGGAAAGUGCAGACUGUGACGGUACCUGAACAGAAAGGGACGGCUAACUACGUG